RNAcentral lists this unclassified non-coding RNA (252 nucleotides) under Periconia sp. Its description in RNAcentral is "partial contains 5.8S ribosomal RNA, internal transcribed spacer 2, and large subunit ribosomal RNA". RNAcentral also lists the same sequence under 1 other name. The record is from RNAcentral. Lineage: Eukaryota; Fungi; Ascomycota; Dothideomycetes; Pleosporales; Periconiaceae.
AACGCACAUUGCGCCCCUCGGUAUUCCGUGGGGCAUGCCUGUUCGAGCGUCAUUUACACCCUCAAGCUCUGCUUGGUGUUGGGCGCCUGUCCCGCUCCCGCAGCGCGGACUCGCCCUAAAGUCAUUGGCGGCGGUCGUGCCGGCCCCUCGCGCAGCACAAAUGCGCUUCUCGGAGGCCCGGCGGAUCAGCGCUCCAGCAAGACACCUUCAUGACUUGACCUCGGAUCAGGUAGGGAUACCCGCUGAACUUAA